This 669-nucleotide ribosomal RNA is filed under the name uncultured bacterium. Its description in RNAcentral is "bacterial SSU rRNA". It matches the Rfam family "Bacterial small subunit ribosomal RNA", at positions 874 to 1533 of the family's 1533-position model. The record is from RNAcentral.
UGAGUAGUACGGUCGCAAGAUUAAAACUCAAAGGAAUUGACGGGGGUCCGCACAAGCGGUGGAACAUGUGGUUUAAUUCGACACUACGCGAGGAACCUUACCUGGGUUUGACAUGUAAUCGCUACUGGUAGAAAUACUGGGUUCCGUAGCAAUACGGACGGUUACACAGGUGCUGCAUGGCUGUCGUCAGCUCGUGUCGUGAGACGUCGGGUUAAGUCCUUGAACGAGCGCAACCCUUGCCGUUAGUUGCUAGCCGCAAGGCAGCACUCUAGCGGGACUGCCUAGGAAACUAGGAGGAAGGUGGGGAUGACGUCAAGUCCGCAUGGCCCUUAUACCCAGGGCUACACACGUGUUACAAUGGCGAGGAACAAAAGGAUGCGAAGUCGCGAGAUGGAGCAAAUCCCCAAAACUCGUCUAAGUUCAGAUUGUAGUCUGCAACCCGACUACAUGAAGUUGAAAUCGCUAGUAAUCGCAUAUCAGAACGAUGCGGUGAAUACGUUCUCGGACCUUGUACACACCGCCCGUCACACCAUGGGAGCCGUCGGCACCCGAAAUCAACUUAGCUAACUGAGCAAUCAGAGGCGGAUGAUGAAGGUGAAGGGGGUGACUGGGGUGAAGUCGUAACAAGGUAGCUGUACGAGAACGUGCGGCUGGAUCACCUCCUUUCUG